Molecule: non-coding RNA, 73 nt
Organism: Henosepilachna vigintioctopunctata
Lineage: Eukaryota; Metazoa; Arthropoda; Insecta; Coleoptera; Coccinellidae
Source: the annotation of a GenBank genome assembly
GUCUCCGAAGCUUAGUCGGUAAAACUCCCGCCUAUGGUGCGGUAGGACUCGGGUUCGAGCCGCGCGGGAGGCA